UCCUCAUUUCACACACUCUCUCGCCUCUCUGACCGGUGAGAGAGUGCGUGAAAUGAAGAGA
Molecule: microRNA precursor, 61 nt
Filed under: Pristionchus pacificus
Lineage: Eukaryota; Metazoa; Nematoda; Chromadorea; Rhabditida; Neodiplogasteridae
Description: mir-8364 microRNA precursor family
Rfam family: mir-8364 microRNA precursor family
Source: Rfam by way of RNAcentral